Molecule: long non-coding RNA, 413 nt
Organism: Phyllostomus hastatus (greater spear-nosed bat)
Lineage: Eukaryota; Metazoa; Chordata; Mammalia; Chiroptera; Phyllostomidae
Exons: 3
Source: RefSeq, a predicted model, not a curated record
CUUUCUUCUUGGCAUGUCUUGUCCAUUCCCCCAGGAGGCAAGGGCCCUGCUGGGGUCGGCCCCUCCCCAGGGCACAUCUCCGGUUCAAGAGGAAGGACGGAGAGCUUCAUCCCUUGCCCAGUGUGUGCGUGAACGAUUCCAUCUCUGGUUUGCGUCGUGCUAGAGGAGGUGUUUAUAAUUCUCCUCCACGGCUGCGUCUUUCCCGGGUCCCCUCGAAUGCUCAUCUUAUGUGCAGUGGGGAGGAAGAGAGGAUCACAGAAGAGAAACGUUACACUUCGGCUGCUUUGAACUUCAGAUCAACGGAAUCAGACACCCGCGUUGAACCCACUGAGCUACGCCAGCCAGGGCUCCCUGACAUCUCUUGCUCAGUGUUUCAUGAAUGAGCUCCUCCAUGUGGUUCCGGCUGAACGAUA